CCCGACUGCUAUCAGAGUAGGACUAAGCCAUGCGAGUCAACAUAGCAAUAUGUGGCAUACGGCUCAGUAACACGUAGUCAACAUGCCCAGGGGACGUGGAUAACCUCGGGAAACUGAGGAUAAACCGCGAUAGGUCAUCACAUCUGGAAUGGGUAAUGACUUAAAUCUAUAUGGCCCCUGGAUUGGACUGCGGCCGAUCAGGCUGUUGGUGAGGUAAUGGCCCACCAAACCUGUAACCGGUACGGGCUCUGAGAGGAGGAGCCCGGAGAUGGGCACUGAGACAAGGGCCCAGGCCCUAUGGGGCGCAGCAGGCGCGAAACCUCUGCAAUAGGCGAAAGCUUGACAGGGUUACUCUGAGUGAUUUCCGUUAAGGAGAUCUUUUGGCACCUCUAAAAAUGGUGCAGAAUAAGGGGUGGGCAAGUCUGGUGUCAGCCGCCGCGGUAAUACCAGCAC
This 453-nucleotide ribosomal RNA is filed under the name uncultured Front Range soil crenarchaeote FRD9x2. RNAcentral describes it as "bacterial SSU rRNA". It matches the Rfam family "Archaeal small subunit ribosomal RNA", at positions 24 to 482 of the family's 1478-position model. Lineage: Archaea; Thermoproteati; Thermoproteota. The record is from RNAcentral.